AGAGCGAACGCUGGCGGCAGGCCUAAUACAUGCAAGUCGAACGAAUCCUUCGGGAUUAGUGGCGGACGGGUGAGUAACACGUGGGAACGUGCCCUUUGGUUCGGAACAACUCAGGGAAACUUGAGCUAAUACCGAAUGUGCCCUUCGGGGGAAAGAUUUAUCGCCAUUGGAGCGGCCCGCGUCUGAUUAGCUAGUUGGUGAGGUAAAGGCUUACCAAGGCUACGAUCAGUAGCUGGUCUGAGAGGAUGAUCAGCCACACUGGGACUGAGACACGGCCCAGACUCCUACGGGAGGCAGCAGUGGGGAAUAUUGCGCAAUGGGCGAAAGCCUGACGCAGCGACGCCGCGUGGGGGAUGAAGGCCUUCGGGUUGUAAACCCCUUUCAGCAGGGACGAAGCGAAAGUGACGGUACCUGCAGAAGAAGCGCCGGCUAACUACGUGCCAGCAGCCGC
This 451-nucleotide ribosomal RNA is filed under the name uncultured bacterium. RNAcentral describes it as "SSU rRNA". It matches the Rfam family "Bacterial small subunit ribosomal RNA", at positions 26 to 518 of the family's 1533-position model. The record is from RNAcentral.